Long non-coding RNA from Carassius gibelio (silver crucian carp), 1777 nucleotides. RefSeq lists it as uncharacterized. Lineage: Eukaryota; Metazoa; Chordata; Actinopteri; Cypriniformes; Cyprinidae. The record is from RefSeq and is a predicted model, not a curated record. The transcript is spliced from 2 exons.
UUUACAAUAAGAUUUCAUUUAUAAACAUUAUGUUAACAUGAACAAUAUUUAUAUAGCAUUCAUUCAUGUCAGUUAAUAUUCCAAACUUAAACAUUAAAACAUUGUUUUAUUGUGAUUUUUUUCCAAGAACAUUUUACCAAUUCCAAACCAUAUCAAUCUUAAUAACUACCAUUAUUUUUAUUUAAUCAUUUAUAAGUGCUAUACAAUAGUCCAGGAAAGCUGGAAGAGAAAAACACUUUAUAUUCAUGUGUGUAGAAUUAUUAGGCAUGUUUUCUUUUGCAGAUGGAAUGCGCUAAAAAAGAGUUUUAACUCAAACUGUAAAGUCGAAAAUUAUGAAAUACCCAUGAGAAAUAUCAAACACAAAUGCAAUACAGAAAUGGAUAAGUUAAGACUUGACCAUUAUACAAAAAAUGCUGACUGGGUCAUGAGGUCAGAAAAGAAGAAGAAAAAAACAGGUCAAGAAGAACUGACAAAAAGAAUUGCAAAAUAAUUAGGAAUUAAUGUGAAGAUUAAUUUUUAGUCAAUUCUGCAAGACAGACUUUCAGGAAAGGAGGUGGAAUAAAAAUGAGCUCCUAAAUCUUAAUCCCGGAUUCUGGAAGAUAUAUUCCUCAAACCAUCAAACAAGAGGAGGUGGUGCUGGUCCUUCACGAGUCAGUCUAAUCUGUUCAUUAAGCCUAUAUAUAAAGUCUUAAUAUAUAGUAUUUCACAAUACUUCAUGGUAUUCUAAUUAAAUAUUUUUUUGGAAUCUUAGAUCUCUCAGAACCUGACACAUUGUAAUUCUGAGACUCCAGGAAAGUGGCAAUUCUGUAAAAUGUUGGCGCUGGAGACUAAAUGCUCACUGAUAGUUUCACACCUAAUUCACUUAAAACACACACAAACACACACACACAGUGACAGAGGGACAGAGUGACAUCAGAUGUAUGUUUUUUAAUUUUCUGUCAUCCAUAUAAUGUUGUAUAGUCAUGAAACUAUGCAUAUUUCCUCAGAAUGACUUGUCUUCUAUGUGUACAUUUUUUUGAAGUGUUUAGAAGCUGCACUUUUUUUUACUGGUUCCUUUUUUACUAUUAUUUCAAAAAAUCACCACGACAAAACCAUUCAAGCUAUCCAAAAUUCAUUCACACCUGUUCUGUAAGAUUAAUUCUUUAAACAGUGGUAAAAGAUGAUGUGGUGCUGAACCUUCAAGAGUCACUUAAAACGUAUCUGUCCAUAAAGCCUAUUAAGAAUUAUUCUUAAUAUACAGUUCACAAUACUUCAGCUUGUUAUUCUAAUUAAGUGAGGGUCAUUUUAUCAGUAAAAUUCCUAAAAUACAUAUUAUUUUAUUUGAAAGAUUUCUAUAAAUUAUUUAAAUCAUACUCGUUUCUCCAAUAAUUAUUUAAAAGUAAUCCUAUAGCUCCCUCUGGUGGCCAUUAUAGGUACUAAGAAUUGCAAGCUUGAUUUAUAAGUUAUGAUAGUUUUAAUUUUAUGCUGGCUCUUGAAAAUGAUAAAGCUAUGAAACUUACUGUGCUUCCUUCAAAUGAGGACUUCUACUUAUAUAAAAAAUUAUGAAGAGUUAGCAUGAAAAAUUUUAAAGAUAUAGUAAAAUAACUAUUGUAUUUUUUAUGUUACUUUAAUAAAUCUCUAUGGCAACACCAUUUAAGCUAUCCUAAACCCAUUCACAAUUUAACAUCUCAGUAUAUAGGCAUAAUGUUGAAAAAGGAGUAUGGAGUAGUAUGAGUAGGAGUAUGAAUUCAUUUGCAGGCUUUAUCAUAAAUCCACAAUAAAAUUUCUGAGUUCUGUA